This is a non-coding RNA of Podospora conica, 92 nucleotides long. NCBI's taxonomy places the organism in Eukaryota, Fungi, Ascomycota, Sordariomycetes, Sordariales, Podosporaceae. The record is from the annotation of a GenBank genome assembly.
GCGCCGAUGGUCUAGCGGUAUGAUUCUCGCUUAGGGUUCACCCUGAGGUACAAAUUUGCGAGAGGUCCCGGGUUCAAUCCCCGGUUGGCGCC